AGGGGUUACGGUUCCGUUAACGGCCAACCCAGAAACAGAGGAAGACACAAACGAAAGUGAAAAGCGGCUGGAGAAUGGAGCAGAUGAAGCCAGUGGAUCCAACUGUCCUAAAGAUGAGUCAAAGGCUGAGGAAGUACAGACAGCCAGUGCUUUAGGAUG
This is a long non-coding RNA of Salvelinus sp. IW2-2015, 159 nucleotides long. RefSeq lists it as uncharacterized. The record is from RefSeq and is a predicted model, not a curated record. Lineage: Eukaryota; Metazoa; Chordata; Actinopteri; Salmoniformes; Salmonidae. The transcript has 3 exons.